Molecule: ribosomal RNA, 437 nt
Filed under: uncultured crenarchaeote
Lineage: Archaea; Thermoproteati; Thermoproteota
Description: bacterial SSU rRNA
Rfam family: Archaeal small subunit ribosomal RNA
Source: RNAcentral
AAGGACGGUGCCAGCCGCCGCGGUAAUACCGGCGCCCCAAGUGGUAGUCGCUUUUAUUGGGCCUAAAACGUCCGUAGCCGGUCUGGUACAUUCGUGGGUAAAUCAACCAGCUCAACUGGUUGAAUUCUGCGAGCACGGCCAGACUUGGGACCGGGAGAGGUGUGGGGUACUCUCAGGGUAGGGGUAAAAUCCUGUCAUCCUGAGAGGACCACCUGUUGCGAAGGCGCCACACUAGAACGGAUCCGACGGUCAGGGACGAAGCCUAGGGGCACGAACCGGAUUAGAUACCCGGGUAGUCCUAGGUGUAAACGCUGUGGACUUGAUGUUGGGGGCGCUCCGAGCGCACUCAGUGUCGAAGCGAAGGUGAUAAGUCCACUGCCUGGGGAGUACGGUCGCAAGGCUGAAACUUAAAGGAAUUGGCGGGGGAGCACCGCAAC